GACUACUGGGGUAUCUAAGCCCGUUCGCUCCCCUAGCUUUCGCCUCUCAGCGUCAGGUACAGGCCAGGAAGUCGCCUUCGCCACUGGUGUUCCUCCUAAUAUCUGAGCAUUCCACCGCUACACUAGGAAUUCCACUUCCCUCUCCUGCCCUCUAGUAGCCUAGUUUUGAACGACCCCUCCCAGUUGGGCCGGGAGAUGUCACGCCCAACUUUGGCUACCGCCUACUUGCCCUUUACGCCCAGUAAAUCCGGAUAACGCUCGCCUCCUACGUUUUACCGCGGCUGCUGGCACGUAGUUAGCCGAGACUUAUUCCUGAGGUACCGUCCUCGCUCAUCCCUCAGAAAAGAGCUUUACGACCCGAAGGCCUUCUUCGCUCACGCGGCGUUGCUGCAUCUGGGUUUCCCCCAUUGUGCAAUAUUCCUUACUGCAGCCCCCCGUAGG
Molecule: ribosomal RNA, 441 nt
Filed under: uncultured bacterium
Lineage: Bacteria
Description: partial 16S ribosomal RNA
Source: RNAcentral